AUUGUGUUUUCAGCAAUGACACUAUUACUAUCAUUUUGUGGAGGUUUCUGAGUUCAUGCCUUGAUGAUCUCUAACACCACAAAGCAGGGAUGGGUAUUUCAUCCCAUCAGGGUGUUGGAAAUAGUAUAAGAAAAACUUAGGUUAAUAUAAUCCAAACACUAUCUCAGAUUGUGCCAAUCAAAAAGCUAGAUUCCAGCACUUCACAUCUUCAUCUUGGCUGCAAGGUUUUUAAGUGUGUUUGCUUUCUCUAGAAUAAACACUGUUUUCAAGCAGUGUAAUUUCCAUUUGGAAAGCAAAACUUCUUGCUCUAAAAAUGCCAAAGCAAAUUUGAUUUUAAAUUUUUCUGUGAUCGAUGCAAUUUCAUCUGGAUCAUUCCUUUUCUGCAGCCUCAGAGUCAACAAACGGGCAUGGUGAAAUGUUCCCUGGGAAAGUCUGUGACCAUGGUUACUUCACCCCUGUGAACUUCCACCUGUAAGUGUCUCGGACCUGGGCUGAGAAGGUCGAUCCCUGCUGGUGCUGUCUGCUGAAUCAAGGGGAGAGCCCUGAAGAGCCUGACACAAGCACCCCGGGCUGUGCCAGCCUCAUCUUGCACAGGAGAACCUCUUACCACCAUAAGCUGGCCUGUCUUUCUUGCCUCAACCAGCACAAAAGCAUCUUCAGUGACUCACUGCUCCCUAACCCACCUUUGGUUUCCUCCUUGUUUCACAGCACACAAAGCAGCCUCCUCUCUUGUACCUGCACCACUAUUCAGAUCUCACACACGUAUCAUGCUUCCCUCAACUGUUGU
Long non-coding RNA from Neopsephotus bourkii (Bourke's parrot), 787 nucleotides. RefSeq lists it as uncharacterized. The transcript has 3 exons. The record is from RefSeq and is a predicted model, not a curated record. NCBI's taxonomy places the organism in Eukaryota, Metazoa, Chordata, Aves, Psittaciformes, Psittacidae.